UACGAAGGGACCUAGCGUAGUUCGGAAUUACUGGGCUUAAAGAGUUCGUAGGUGGUUGAAAAAGUUGGUGGUGAAAUCCCAGAGCUUAACUCUGGAACUGCCAUCAAAACUUUUCAGCUAGAGUAUGAUAGAGGAAAGCAGAAUUUCUAGUGUAGAGGUGAAAUUCGUGGAUAUUAGAAAGAAUACCAAUUGCGAAGGCAGCUUUCUGGAUCAUUACUGACACUGAGGAACGAAAGCAUGGGUAGCGAAGAGGAUUAGAUACCCUCGUAGUCCAUGCCGUAAACGAUGUGUGUUAGACGUUGGAAAUUUAUUUUCAGUGUCGCAGCGAAAGCGAUAAACACACCGCCUGGGGAGUACGACCGCAAGGUUAAAACUCAAAUGAAUUGACGGGGACCCGCACAAGUAGUGGAGCAUGUGGUUUAAUUCGAAGAUACGCGCAGAACCUUACCAACACUUGACAUGUUCGUCGCGACUCUAAGAGAUUAGAGUUUUCGGUUCGGCCGGACGAAACACAGGUGCUGCAUGGCUGUCGUCAGCUCGUGUCGUGAGAUGUUGGGUUAAGUCCCGCAACGAGCGCAACCCUCACUUUUAGUUGCCAUCAUUAAGUUGGGCACUCUGAAAGAACUGCCAGUGAUAAGCUGGAGGAAGGUGGGGAUGACGUCAAGUCCUCAUGGCCCUUACGUGUUGGGCUACACACGUGCUACAAUGGUAUCUACAACAGGAAGCAAGACUGCGAAGUUAAGCAAAUCCCUAAAAGAUACCUCAGUUCGGAUUGCACUCUGCAACUCGAGUGCAUGAAGCUGGAAUUACUAGUAAUCGUGGAUCAGCGUGCCACGGUGAAUGCGUUCCCGGGUCU
RNAcentral lists this ribosomal RNA (856 nucleotides) under uncultured bacterium. Its description in RNAcentral is "SSU rRNA". It matches the Rfam family "Bacterial small subunit ribosomal RNA", at positions 524 to 1381 of the family's 1533-position model. The record is from RNAcentral.